RNAcentral lists this small nuclear RNA (101 nucleotides) under Pan paniscus (pygmy chimpanzee). Its description in RNAcentral is "U2 spliceosomal RNA". It matches the Rfam family "U2 spliceosomal RNA". Rfam says of the family: U2 is a small nuclear RNA (snRNA) component of the spliceosome (involved in pre-mRNA splicing). Complementary binding between U2 snRNA (in an area lying towards the 5' end but 3' to hairpin I) and the branchpoint sequence (BPS) of the intron results the bulging out of an unpaired adenosine, on the BPS, which initiates a nucleophilic attack at the intronic 5' splice site, thus starting the first of two transesterification reactions that mediate splicing. RNAcentral also lists the same sequence under 1 other name. The record is from Rfam by way of RNAcentral. Lineage: Eukaryota; Metazoa; Chordata; Mammalia; Primates; Hominidae.
ACAGCUUCUGGGCCUUUUGGCUAAGAUCAAGUCGAGUAUCUGUUAUCAGUUUAACAUUUGAUACUGACGCAGUGUUGUCAUCUCACACCGAGGAAAUCAAA